UGGGUUUCUGCUGAUUCUCAAGUUUUUUGUGUCUGAUUAAUGAUUUGAGUUAUAUCUAUUCUCUUCUGAGAGUAAAGGGAAAAUGGCUUCAGAUAAGAGUUUUUUUCCCCUGAAGAAUUUUUAUUUUAUUUAUUUGACUUCAAUCGGUGUUACCAUAUGUAAUCAGGAUCAUUUUUUCCAGGCAGGGUUUUAUCCAUUUGUCAUAAAAAGGCCUUCUUUUCUUGUUCGGAAAUGGUAUGAUUUUGUUUUUUUUUUUAACGAAUUUGUAUAGAUUAUGAACAUAUAUAAUAUCAAAUUUUUGAUUCAGUUCAUUUCAACCAGGUCUAAGUGUUUAACAUCUUUUUUACCAAAGCCUCUCUUUUUUUUGGCUUCGAAAUGGUUAGUCUUUACAAAUGAUAAGAAUAAUUUAUACUUAUGCUAUUUGUCUCUUCCUAUGAGAAAUGCUAUUUGCAAGUGAUAUCUUGGUUUCACUAAUUUGUUAUUUUGUUCUAUGAUGAAUUUGGAGAGGUUUGUGCAAGUUGUCUCUGCGGAUGAGAAAUUUUUCAGUGAGCUCUUUUCUUUAUUUUCAAGUGCCUCGAGGCUGUUUUCCUAUUUCUCAUCUGCUAUUUGAAGUUGAUGUUUUGGUUUGAACUCAUUGUUCUAAGAAGAACUUCUACUUAUACAAUUCGUCUAUUUAAUUUGAACCGAUUUUUUACCUUUGGAUAUUUGUAACUCUUUAUUCCUUCGACGAGGACCAACAAUAAAUGUUCUUGUAUCAUUGGCCUCAUCAGUAUUCUUUUUGGAAUCAGUUAGCACUGAGUUCUGAAAGCUCUUGAAUGAUUUGAGUAAUGGUCAGAAGGGACCUCAAUUCUAAGUCAUCAUUCUGAUAUUUAUCAACUUUAUUUACCACUAGAAGAUGUACAACAGUUCUUCAAAAGGUCAGUAUUUUAUCGGGGGGACAACAUUCAAAUUAGCCAGCACCUUAAGUGAUGGCAUUUUUUUCUUCUACAUCUACAUGGAAUUCCUUUAGCCAUUCUUCCCUUAUGUCGGAAGUUAUGGCAAAAAGAGGAGGGGACUCAGACCAUCAGUAUGGUAACCUAUUAUCAUUUAUCAGUAUGCUGCAUACAAUCCUUUUUCUGCUCAGUCAGAAAUGAAGAGAUUUAUUUUGAUCUCUUUUGUCUCGUAUGAUGCAAAUGUUGACUAGAAAACCUUCUUUAGUCAUUGGUGCUAUAGCAUCACUACUCCUCAUCUUGCCCCUUUUAUCUAUUAUAGGAGGUCUGCUAAUGCAGAAGGUUGGUAUGCUUAGCUUUAGGUUUUACCUAUGUUAAUGUAAUGCGAUUACGAAAUCUCUGUCUGCUAUCAUUGCAGUGCAAAAUUCAAGCCUUCUGAUUUGCUGGACUUCUCCUCAUCAUGGCGUCCUUGAUGCCAAAAUCAGAAAAUGGAGAUGUGAAAUCUGUCUUCCUCAUUAGAGCACUUCUCAUUAUAUAAGAAUUGGAAUGCUAGCUGGUCUAAUUUAAGCUAUCUAAUUAGGAAAGAUAUACAUAUUUACAGUUGAUUAUAUGCUAAUUAAUUGGCUUGACAAAAUAGGAAAGAGCUAUACAUGCAUAUCUAUAUUUACAGCUAAUCAUAUUCUAAUUUAAAUGGCUUGACACUUCAUUAUUGGCAGCUCUUUGGUUAAUCCUUCUCCAGCAGGAUGUGGUUGGUGUGCUAAGGAAUUAGGGAAGUUUUCUGUACCUGGUUUCAUUCAGCAAGUUCUUUCGCACUUGGCUCCUCACAUUUUCUCGGUACUAAGACCAAUACUUCUCAUUAGCUGCACAUUAAAGAUGAGGUUAGUGUUUCUGAAAAUUCGGUAAUGCAGUUUUGGUUCAUUGGUUUGCUUCUAAACUAACCUAUACAGCCAAUAUUGUUUCGUAUGAGAUGAAAUCACAAGACUUCAGGUUUGGUUCAUUGGUGGCAAUGCGCAACUUGAGAUAUUGCAAAUCCAAUAUUCAUGUGGGACUUGAGUUAAUUCUUUGCACACUCACGUGCUCGGGAUCCUCUUCCUGCUACCUCAACUACCCACAUAUUCCAAUUUGAUAUGGUAUGGAAAUUUUCGAACUUUGAUCAUGAUUUCACUCAUCAACGAAAAUCUUCAAACUCAGAUGCUCUUGAUUUCGCUCAUCAUCUUUGGGCAUUUUGAUCUGAUUGGUCUCACUCAUUUUUUCAAAUUGAAUUAUACGAUAUGCUUUAACUCGUUAUUCUUUGAUGAAGCCAAAGUCUUUCUUGUUAUGACUUUGAUUCUCUAUAUAUUUGAUAGUUCGCUUAUAAAGAUGUACUGGUAAAAAAUUCUGUUUAGAGGGAAAUGUUUUAACUGAACUGUGGGGAAUAUCAAUGAGGUGUCUUGCGUUGAGAUCUUUGAACCUGUUGUAGAAUAACAAGAUUAUUGCAUAUAAAUUGUUUUACAUAGCUGCAAAAGUUUUUUUAGAGAUUGUUUGUCAGUAAAGAAAGAAUUUCUCAGCCUCUGGCGACUGGCUAGAACAUUACUAUAUGUUACAUGUAAUGAACUGUUGGAUUAUUAUAAUGUUUUAAUAAAUUUUGGCCAUAUCCAUACUUUCCAUAAUCCGUUUUAAGAUUCUGCUGGUGACUGUAAUGUUUUGCCUAUCUAUUUUAUGCUCAUGAGUUUGUUUUAGUUGUAGCUAGAGCUAAAAGCAUCUUAUCUUUUCCCUCAUUAGAUAUUCUAUCUUAUGAUUUUUUUAUGUGACUGCACAAGGUACAUAUUGCCUUUAGUUUUUAUUUCCCUUUUGUAUUCAUAGCACUUCAUCAAAUAGAUGUUAUAUGCAAAACUAAUAAAUAUAAGUUGUGGUAUCAGCAUUGAAGUUCUGACAUCACCAGGUAUUUAUAGCUCUCAGCUCUUUCCUUUGCUCAUUUUCUGGUUCAUUAUUUUUUUUUCUCUGUUAUCCAUUUUCUUUUCGCACCUAGGGAUACCAGGAGCUAAUCUACUUUGAAAUUUUGAAUUACUAUACAGAGAAUCUUCCGAUAUCGCACCCACGUCAUGAUUCUUUGCAAAACUACUAUACACGCGGCGCCGCUGCGGUUGUAUUCUAUAUAGAAAAUAUGACUUCAUUAAGUGCACACGUACAUAUUUCUCGACUCCCUUCUAGUUCUUUCACUUGUCAUGUUGCAUUUAUGUCUUUUUAUUCUAUCCAUUUUGGUAUGUUAAUCCGUUGAAUUUUUUUGAAUUUUCUAAUAUACAACUGUUGUUGGUAGUAGUCUUUAUAACAUAUCUUCUUGCACAAGGUACCUAUUUCCCUCAUCUUUUUUUUCAUUUCUUUUCCCUUCUUUGUUCGUUCAUUUAUUUCUUUUUAUGCUAUCUGUUCCACUUACUCGCAUUCCUUUCCUUUUCUCUUGUCCUUAAUAGACAGAUUAUUGCAAUGAGCAAAUUGUUAUAUUGCGAAACUAAUAUUCAAGUAGGACUUGAGUAUGGAUUUUGGUUGCAGUUUCUAAGAGAUACACUUCUUCAGAUCAUAGCGGCAAGCCAGUCACAUGAUCCAUACUCCUGCCACCUCAACUACCUCAUUUUCCCAAUUUGAUGAAGUAUGAAAAUAUUCUAACCCUUCUUGUUAAUUGACUUUGCUUUUCUGUCUAUUGUUUGCUCUUUUUUUCCUGCUUUUAUGGAUCAGUUGCAUUUAGUUAUCCGAAUUGAUUGAAACUUGUAUGAUGAUCUUGCGAAAGUUGCUCUUCUAACAAUUUUUCAUUGGUAAAGGGAGAAUAUGUCAUUAUUAAAUUGAUUUUAUUGGUUUCAUGCCACAUGAAGACUUUCUUUAAUUGGUUCAUAGAGUAUAAGAUAAAACUUGUUGGUCGUGAGACUUAUAAGCAAUGCCAGAGUAUUCUCAUCUGUGUAGUUGCAACAAAAUGUCAGAGUAUCUCUGCAAUGUUACGAUUUAAGAUGAAGUUUAUAAAAUAAUUCUCUGGAUUUAAAUCUUUUACUUUCUUGUAUGUUGGAAAUAAGAUUGUGGCUUCAGUUCUUCAUGGGAUCAUCAAAUUCAAUGUUAGAAGUGGUAAUAAAGAAGCUAUAUGAAAAAGAAAACUAAUAUGCUAAACCUCUGGUAAUCAGCAUAACUACUCUGCUUUCGUAUGUUCUCCGUUACUUGUGUGAAUAAGUCCUAUGUUAUAGAGUAUAUAACUUCGAUCAUACGGAUCAAUUUCUAGUCGCAUAGCUUCACAAUAAUUCUGUAAAGCUUCCGCAUGAUUUCCUUCGGAUUGAGCUGACAUCCGUAACAGUACCAGGUACGUAUUUCUUUUGCUCCUGCCCUUUUUUUUGGAGCACUGAAUAAAAAAAAAAGGACUAUUAUACAAAACCUUUGGUACUAAGCACAAACAGUCUGAGUGCACCGGUGUCUGGGUACAUAUUUUUCUCACUCUUUCCUUUGCUCUUUUCUAAUUCAUUCAUUUUUUUUUCUUUUAUCCAGCUAGAUGAGGUUUAAAUGGGGGUAAGCACAAACAAUCUGAGUGCACUAGGUAACCUGACUUCUUGUUCGAAAUUUUGGCGGUGAAGCACAAAUAUACAAAAAGUUUUCGGUGCCAUCAUAAUUUGUACUGCACAAGGUACAUAUAGAAUAAUAUGCAUAUCUUACUACUUCUUGUCCUACAAUACAAGCAAUGAAGGCCAAUUUGAUGCAACCAUACCUGGAAUCAUACAAAUUAUAAUAGCGACACAUUGAAACAUAACGAAACUUAGAAACUUACUUAACACAUUGGACAACACCGCAAGAAACAUCAAAUUAUAAUAGCGACACAUCGAAACAUAACGAAACCUAUAAACUUACUUAACACAAUGUACAACAUUGCAAGAAACAUCAAAUAAAAGUUAUAGCGCAACUGAAAAUUCAUUGACAACUCAACGGCAACAAAGGUCAAUAAAGCUGCCAACAUUAAGCAAAUUCAAUUGUAACAUCAACUGUUCUGGAUUCAAAUGUUUCAACAACCAAUAACCAAUAAGAAUCCACAGGCAUAUAUACCACAUAAAAAAUUAUGAGUUGAACUACCUAUACAACCAUGCUAGUUACAAAGAGCUGGUAACAGAAGAAAAUGGAGAAUUUCUCUUCCCUGGACAAGUGCUGGUCUGCAUUCCUCUUGGGAUCGGUAAAGUCAGUAGUACUCUCUUUCUCUAUGCCUAUAUAUUGAUUUUGUCAACUAAUUCUUCUUAAAUGAUUUUGUGUGUGUCAGUACCAUGGAACUGGAGGCAGAGUACGGGAACAAGUUUCGAUACUACACUUCUCGUUCUCUUUUACAAAUUCAUUCCAAAAAAAAAACCUUAUUUAUCCAUUUUUCAGUUUGGAGCUUACCAAAGUUGAAUCGUUAUAUUGAGAAUUUCCCCUAGUGUACAUGUCAUAGUUCUCUUGUCUGAAUGAAAUAAGGGUAAUGAAGCAAAUAGGUUCUCUACAAAACUAAUACACGCUGUGCUACCACUCUGCCAGGUACAUAUUUCCUAACUCGUGUUGUUGUUCUCUUCUACUGCAUUCAUUUUGGUAUUCCAAUUCACUUGAAUUAUUAGAAUUAACCUUGUGAGAGAAUAUGUAGUAGAAAAGCCUCGGUACUUGUAUUUACAUAUUUAUUUUCUUGUAUGUUGUAAAUAAAAUUGUGGAUUCUGUUCUUCAUGGGAUCACUAAAUUCAAUGCUAGCAGUGGUAAUAACGAAGCUUUCAUGAUUUUUUAAAAAUUAAAACUAAUAUGCUAAACCUCUGGUAAUCAACAUAUAAUAACUCUGAUGGCACCAGGUACAUCUCUUUUACUCUUCUCUCCUUUGUUUUCAAAGCAUUGAAUUAAAAAACAGAGAUUAUUAUACAAAAGUUUUGGUACUAAGCACAAACAAUCUGAGAACACAUAUUUCCCUCACUCUUUCUUUGGCUUUUUUCUAAUUAAUUUUAUCCAUUUUCUUUUUGUUUGUACAGCUGCAAGAGCUAAUCCGAGUUACAUUAUUAUAUAGAGAAUUGUCUCAUAUGUCAUAUUUCUUGUCCGAAAUUAGAAAAAUGAAGCAAUUAUAUUAUUUGCAAGACUGAUAAAAGCUGUUGAGGUACGUAUUUCGCGACUCCUUUUUCGUUUUUCCUGUUCUUCUAUUGUAUUCAUUCCCUUUCUUCUAUCCAUAUCGGUACUUCAAUCCAGUUGAACUUUAUAUGGAUAAUUUUCAUAGAUAUU
Long non-coding RNA from Tripterygium wilfordii, 6152 nucleotides. RefSeq lists it as uncharacterized. The transcript is spliced from 3 exons. The record is from RefSeq and is a predicted model, not a curated record. Lineage: Eukaryota; Viridiplantae; Streptophyta; Magnoliopsida; Celastrales; Celastraceae.